AUCGCUUCUCAGCCUUUUGGCUAAGAUCAAAGUGUAGUAUCUGUUCUUAGCUUAAUAUCUGAUACGGAGACCAUGUGUCUCCUUCGAUAUUAAGCUCAUUUUUGCUAGGGGAUGAAGUUGAGGAGCUUGCUCCGACUUUGUCAUCGGUUGGCUUAGUCUUGCAGUACUGCCAAGCUCGGCCCACUUCCC
Eurytemora carolleeae is the source of this 189-nucleotide small nuclear RNA. RefSeq annotates it as U2 spliceosomal RNA. NCBI's taxonomy places the organism in Eukaryota, Metazoa, Arthropoda, Copepoda, Calanoida, Temoridae. The transcript has a single exon. The record is from RefSeq and is a predicted model, not a curated record.